This 1228-nucleotide long non-coding RNA is filed under the name Strongylocentrotus purpuratus (purple sea urchin). RNAcentral describes it as "uncharacterized LOC115920977". Lineage: Eukaryota; Metazoa; Echinodermata; Echinoidea; Camarodonta; Strongylocentrotidae. The record is from RNAcentral.
GUAUUCUCGAAAGCGGCCUAAGUUAAAUCAGUGGCCUAAACCUGGUUUAAACCAUGGACUAUCUUUUUUGCUAUUCUCGAAGGUGGCCUAAAGAUAAGCCAGGCUUAAAUACGUCAUAGUUCGGCCUAACUUUAGGCGGCUCAGAGGGCAGGUUUAAAUACGUCAUAGUUCGGCCUAACUUCGCGUGACGUCACUUUUUAGUUAAAUCGACUGUCCGCGGAGAGUGAACGGUUCUUUUCAAUUGAUGCAUGGGGAUGGAGAAAAAAAGGCCUCUCCCAAGCUAUGGUGUCCCGCCUUGUGAAGUCCAUCUCAAUAGCCAUUGCCAGGAGAUGGGAGCAAUACAUCACAAUUCCUUCAGCAAGAGAGGCAGUCCUGCAGAGUGCAGACCCAACAUGAAUUGUAUAAAUACUGCCAUUUCCCUGGCGUUAAUAUGGUCGGUGCUAUUGAUUGCACCCACAUAGGCAUCUCCAAGCCAGUUGGCCCAACACCAGUUAUUUCCUGAACAGGAAAAAAUAGAUACUCCAUUUUUCUUGGAAAGUCUGCUGGAUGAUGUUUUUCUUCAGUAAAAUAAAUGAAGGCAAAUUCCCUGAUAACUGAGACAAAUUCAGAGAGAGGAAGGAGAACUACUGAGCUGCUGAAUGUCUGACAGGUAGGCUGUACGAAUAAGUUGUUGUUUGUAUGCCCAGGUACUUCAAGGAUGGCAUUUGUUCAUUCACAUUUUUCCAUCAAUACUUUCAUGUAAUUGAUUAAUAUGCACUCCACUUUUACCACAAUGUACAUGCAAGACCUUUUUAAUGUUUAACAGAAAUAGGUUUCAAUGUGCUUCCUUUCAUUCUUUUCUCUUUUCAUUCAACAGACAUACUUGCAAGGACUAUGAAGUUCUACUUAGCCUCUUCAAUGAACCAGACUCCAUCUGCUGUAACUGUGACUGCAUGGGGAUCAAAACCUGUGUAUUAUAAUCCUCAUACAUGAAGCUAUGGUAACAAACAAGCAACCAUUGAUAAAAAGCCUGAUAUGUCCUUGUUGUGUGUGUGAACCACAAAGCAACCAUCACUCAUAAGGAUGUUUUUAUGUACAUCAGAUGUUCAUUGUUUCACUGGAAAAAUUGUGAUUUUGAAUCAUUUAAGAAAUCAUGUUUUAUAAUGCGUUUUAUAAUAUAGUGCAAGUCAUGAUAUAACAGAUUCCCUGCAAAAGAAACACGGCUCAAAAGUAGACUAAGCUUUGUUUU